UAAUACAUGCAAGUCGAGCGAACAGAAAAGGAGCUUGCUCCUUUGACGUUAGCGGCGGACGGGUGAGUAACACGUGGGCAACCUACCCUAUAGUUUGGGAUAACUCCGGGAAACCGGGGCUAAUACCGAAUAAUCUCUUUUGCUUCAUGGUGAAAGACUGAAAGACGGNUUCCGCUGUCGCUAUAGGAUGGGCCCGCGGCGCAUUAGCUAGUUGGUGAGGUAACGGNUCACCAANGCGACGAUGCGUAGCCGACCUGAGAGGGUGAUCGGCCACACUGGGACUGAGACACG
RNAcentral lists this ribosomal RNA (291 nucleotides) under Bacillus sp. A0009. RNAcentral's name for it is "partial 16S rRNA". It matches the Rfam family "Bacterial small subunit ribosomal RNA", at positions 49 to 328 of the family's 1533-position model. The record is from RNAcentral. Lineage: Bacteria; Bacillati; Bacillota; Bacilli; Caryophanales; Bacillaceae.